This 441-nucleotide ribosomal RNA is filed under the name uncultured bacterium. RNAcentral's name for it is "partial 16S ribosomal RNA". It matches the Rfam family "Bacterial small subunit ribosomal RNA", at positions 338 to 795 of the family's 1533-position model. The record is from RNAcentral.
CCUACGGGAGGCAGCAGUGGGGGAUAUUGCACAAUGGGGGGAACCCUGAUGCAGCGACGCCGCGUGGGUGAAGGAGUGCUUCUGCAUGUAAAGCCCUAUCGGCAGGGAAGAAGCAAGACGGUACCUGACUAAGAAGCCGUGGCGAACUACGUGCCAGCAGCCGCGGUAAUACGGAGGGGGCGAGCGUUACCGGGAUUCACUGGGUGUAACGGGAGCGUAGGGGGCAAUGGAAGCCAGGGGGGAAAGUCCGGGGCCCAACCCCGGGACUGCCCUUGGAACUGCAUGGCUGGAGUGCGGGAGGGGCAUGCGGAAUUCCUGGUGUAGCGGUGAAAUGCGUAGAUAUCAGGAGGAACCCCGGCGGCGAAGGCGGCCUGCUGGACCGCAACUGACGUUGAGGCUCGAAAGCGUGGGGAGCGAACAGGAUUAGAUACCCGUGUAGUC